RNAcentral lists this ribosomal RNA (662 nucleotides) under uncultured Lachnospiraceae bacterium. RNAcentral describes it as "bacterial SSU rRNA". It matches the Rfam family "Bacterial small subunit ribosomal RNA", at positions 63 to 737 of the family's 1533-position model. Lineage: Bacteria; Bacillati; Bacillota; Clostridia; Lachnospirales; Lachnospiraceae. The record is from RNAcentral.
CGAACGAGCGAGAGAGAGCUUGCUUUCUCGAGCGAGUGGCGAACGGGUGAGUAACGCGUGAGGAACCUGCCUCAAAGAGGGGGGACAACAGUUGGAAACGACUGCUAAUACCGCAUAAGCCCACAGGUCGGCAUCGACCAGAGGGAAAAGGAGCAAUCCGCUUUGAGAUGGCCUCGCGUCCGAUUAGCUAGUUGGUGAGGUAACGGCCCACCAAGGCAACGAUCGGUAGCCGGACUGAGAGGUUGAACGGCCACAUUGGGACUGAGACACGGCCCAGACUCCUACGGGAGGCAGCAGUGGGGAAUAUUGCACAAUGGGGGAAACCCUGAUGCAGCGACGCCGCGUGGAGGAAGAAGGUCUUCGGAUUGUAAACUCCUGUUGUUGAGGAAGACAAUGACGGUACUCAACAAGGAAGUGACGGCUAACUACGUGCCAGCAGCCGCGGUAAAACGUAGGUCACAAGCGUUGUCCGGAAUUACUGGGUGUAAAGGGAGCGCAGGCGGGAAGACAAGUUGGAAGUGAAAUCUAUGGGCUCAACCCAUAAACUGCUUUCAAAACUGUUUUUCUUGAGUAGUGCAGAGGUAGGCGGAAUUCCCGGUGUAGCGGUGGAAUGCGUAGAUAUCGGGAGGAACACCAGUGGCGAAGGCGGCCUACUGGGCACC